Molecule: ribosomal RNA, 516 nt
Filed under: uncultured bacterium
Lineage: Bacteria
Description: partial 16S ribosomal RNA
Rfam family: Bacterial small subunit ribosomal RNA
Source: RNAcentral
GACGAACGCUGGCGGCAUGCCUAAUACAUGCAAGUCGAGCGGAGUUGAUGGAAAGCUUGCUUUCCUGAUGCUUAGCGGCGGACGGGUGAGUAACACGUAGGCAACCUGCCCUCAAGCUUGGGACAACUACCGGAAACGGUAGCUAAUACCGAAUACUUGUUUUCUUCGCCUGAAGAGAACUGGAAAGACGGAGCAAUCUGUCACUUGGGGAUGGGCCUGCGGCGCAUUAGCUAGUUGGUGAGGUAACGGCUCACCAAGGCGACGAUGCGUAGCAGACCUGAGAGGGGGAUCGGCCACACUGGGACUGAGACACGGCCCAGACUCCUACGGGAGGCAGCAGUAGGGAAUCUUCCGCAAUGGGCGAAAGCCUGACGGAGCAAUGCCGCGUGAGUGAUGAAGGUUUUCGGAUCGUAAAGCUCUGUUGCCAGGGAAGAACGCUUGGGAGAGUAACUGCUCUCAAGGUGACGGUACCUGAGAAGAAAGCCCCGGCUAACUACGUGCCAGCCGCCGCGGUAA